UCCAUUACUGCACCGCCUUAUCCACGCCCCCUAAACAUAGAUUAUCAAAAACCAAACUCAUCAACCCUCCGAAUUGGUCUAAUCCACCACCAAUCUGAAAAAAUAUUAUCUAAAAGAAAAAAAAAGAAGUAUGAAACAGUGAGAAUAUUUGUAAGAGAAAGACAAUGCAGUUAAUGUACACAAGAUAUAUUAUUAUUCGCUUUAUAUACAUGUUAUAGGUUGUAUAUGCCCUACAUGUAUACGUUAUACAUUAUAUAUACACUUAUGUAUACAAAUUAUACAAGCACUAAUGUAUGUGUGUUACAUAUAGUGUAGUUACAUUUUUCUAACGAUACAUAUACACUUUAUAUACUUAAUUGUGAGUACCCAUUGUAAUCUUUCACGCUCAUUUUCUAUAUAAUUUGUGUAUAACAAAUGUAUAGUUAAUAUAUAUUCAGCUUGUACUGUAUACACAUUAAUCAUGCAACUAUUAUACAUUAAUUACAACAAUGUAUAUAAAAGGAGGAGCACUAAAAAUUGACAUACACAUUUAGCCGAAAAAAUAUCUUCUCCGGUAGUGACCAUUACUUUCCCCCAUCUCAUCUCCUCUUAUAUAAAGAAUUAUUCAAUGUCAUAUCUAAAAAUGGACGACAAGCAAAAUAUCAUCUACCGCCAAUGUACUUUGAUAACAAAUUAUUAUCUAGAAAAGAUAAAUACUUUAGCAUCUAAGAGAAAAAAUGAAGAGAGAGAGAAAAAAAAAGGUGAGGAAAAAGAAGGCGGGUGUAUUGGUGCUUGCUAUAAUAGAAGAGAAGAAUAAUAGGAUGAAGUCUGCAUGAUGAUCCCAAGUGGGUGGAAGAAGUGAGAAUAUGAGCAAAGAAGGAGAAGCAUGGGAGAUAGAGAGAAAGGAAAACGAAAGAGGGGAGCAAGGGCGUGAUUUUAAGGAUUGACUAUAACUUUUGAAUAAAUUGAACUUAAAAGUGUAUUUCGGGUCAAGUGCUAUAAUGUUGGAUCAUUAAGGACCUAUGUGGCUAAAAAAGUUAUUCAUUUUUUCUGAUUUUUUUUCCAC
This 1045-nucleotide long non-coding RNA is filed under the name Capsicum annuum. RNAcentral describes it as "long non-coding RNA (CANN_LNC009868)". Lineage: Eukaryota; Viridiplantae; Streptophyta; Magnoliopsida; Solanales; Solanaceae. The record is from RNAcentral.